UGGGGAAUAUUGCACAAUGGGCGCAAGCCUGAUGCAGCCAUGCCGCGUGUAUGAAGAAGGCCUUCGGGUUGUAAAGUACUUUCAGCGGGGAGGAAGGGAGUAAAGUUAAUACCUUUGCUCAUUGACGUUACCCGCAGAAGAAGCACCGGCUAACUCCGUGCCAGCAGCCGCGGUAAUACGGAGGGUGCAAGCGUUAAUCGGAAUUACUGGGCGUAAAGCGCACGCAGGCGGUUGAUUGAGUCAGAUGUGAAAUCCCCGGGCUUAACCCGGGAAUUGCAUCUGAUACUGGUCAGCUAGAGUCUUGUAGAGGGGGGUAGAAUUCCAUGUGUAGCGGUGAAAUGCGUAGAGAUGUGGAGGAAUACCGGUGGCGAAGGCGGCCCCCUGGACAAAGACUGACGCUCAGGUGCGAAAGCGUGGGGAGCAAACAG
This 428-nucleotide ribosomal RNA is filed under the name Chloroflexota bacterium. Its description in RNAcentral is "Chloroflexi bacterium partial 16S ribosomal RNA". It matches the Rfam family "Bacterial small subunit ribosomal RNA", at positions 355 to 775 of the family's 1533-position model. Lineage: Bacteria; Bacillati; Chloroflexota. The record is from RNAcentral.